Molecule: ribosomal RNA, 1347 nt
Filed under: uncultured bacterium
Lineage: Bacteria
Description: 16S ribosomal RNA
Rfam family: Bacterial small subunit ribosomal RNA
Source: RNAcentral
UUCGCCCUUAGAGUUUGCUUCUGGCUCAGGACGAACGCUGGCGGCGUGCCUAACACAUGCAAGUCGAGCGAGGGGAAAGGCUUCGGCCUGGAACCUAGCGGCGGACGGGUGAGUAACGCGUGAGGAACCUGUCCCAAACAGGGGGAUACCAGAUGGAAACAUCUGCUAAUACCGCAUAAGACCACAGAGUCGCAUGGCUCAGGGGUCAAAGGAGGAAUCCGGUUUGGGGUGGCCUCGCGUCCGAUUAGCUAGUUGGUGAGGUAACGGCCCACCAAGGCAACGAUCGGUAGCCGACCUGAGAGGGUGAUCGGCCACAUUGGAACUGAGACACGGUCCAAACUCCUACGGGAGGCAGCAGUGGGGAAUAUUGGGCAAUGGGCGAAAGCCUGACCCAGCAACGCCGCGUGAGGGAAGAAGGUUUUCGGAUUGUAAACCUCUGUCCUAAGUGACGAAGGAAGUGACGGUAACUUAGGAGGAAGCCCCGGCUAACUACGUGCCAGCAGCCGCGGUAAUACGUAGGGGGCAAGCGUUGUCCGGAAUGACUGGGCGUAAAGGGCGUGUAGGCGGCCAAUUAAGUUGGGAGUGAAAUUCCCGUUUUCAAGAUGGGAACUGCUUUCAAAACUGAUUGGCUUGAGUGCGGAAGAGGUAAGUGGAAUUCCCAGUGUAGCGGUGAAAUGCGUAGAGAUUGGGAGGAACACCAGUGGCGAAGGCGACUUACUGGGCCGUAACUGACGCUGAGGCGCGAAAGCGUGGGGAGCAAACAGGAUUAGAUACCCUGGUAGUCCACGCGGUAAACGAUGAGUGCUAGGUGUAGGGGGUAUCGACCCCUCCUGUGCCGCAGUAAACACAAUAAGCACUCCGCCUGGGGAGUACGGCCGCAGGUUGGAACUCAAAGGAAUUGACGGGGGCCCGCACAAGCAGCGGAGCAUGGGGUUUAAUUCGACGCAACGCGAAGAACCUUACCAGGUCUUGACAUCGAUGUAAACUUGUGGAAACACAAGGUGGCUUCGGCCGACAGAAGACAGGUGGUGCAUGGUUGUCGUCAGCUCGUGUCGUGAGAUGUUGGGUUAAGUCCCGCAACGAGCGCAACCCUUAUCCAUAGUAGCCAGCAGUAAGAUGGGAACUCUAUGGAGACUGCCGGGGAUAACCCGGAGGAAGGUGGGGAUGACGUCAAAUCAUCAUGCCCCUUACGGUCUGGGCUACACACGUGCUACAAUGGCGUAACAAAGGGAAGCGAGCCCGCGAGGGUGAGCAAACCCCAAAAAUAACGUCCCAGUUCGGAAAGAAGUCUGCAACCCGACUUCACGAAGCCGGAAUCGCUAGUAAUCGCGGAUCAGAAUGCCGCGG